AGCUGUUGCCAUAGGAGCCUUGUUGAUAGCAACCAGUCGGAAAAACAUUUCAAUUUAUAAAUAAGAGAUGUCGCCAUUGCAGCCACAGCUAUUAUCUGCUUUGCUUUGUAAAAUGAAUUCUCUAGAUGACAAUCUUUAUGUUCCACGAAGAACCUUAGAAGAAAAAUUUCCACAGACGUCUGAUAGAGACUUACAGACUACACAUGUGACAGUAAAAUCUACACCUAUUAUUAAAAAUUCUGUUUACUGGAAAGCAACAGAAAGGGCUCCUGGGCAGAUGUGUUAUACAGGAAUAACAAACCUCAACAGCAGAGCAACUUAUAAUAGGUGGCUCAAGUCUUAUACCGAAAGAGAGAAGGAAAGUCUUCCACCUGUCUAUGCUGUUCAGAUGAGAGAAACCUGCUGCUGUGACUCUACACUGCCAGUGCAGUAUCCAUCCAGGUGGAGAGAUAUUCCUAUACCUAGGUAAAGGUUUUGCUGCUCUUCAUCCCAAAUUUUCCAGGAAAUGAAACUUACAUACUUCACAAACUAUAAUUUGUGCACCUACACAAUCCUUAUUGUCCUUGAUGUAUUUAGCUAAUGGUUAGUACUAAUGUUGGAAUCUCGUUUAAAACCUAUAUUUUGAAGAUUUUUCCCCAGAUCAUACUUUUAUGAAAAAGGGUUUCAAUAUAUGACAUUACCAAAUAUUUUGCAUGAUAUGAAUCAUGUUGAGAGAGGGGAAUAGGGUGGAUGGUAAAACAAGAGUUGAAAAAUGUCGGAUAGGUCAGGUACCUUAAGCCUUGACUUGCACCCACUCCACUAUGACUGCAAGCUCUGGUAUUUCUGUGUGAACUCAUCAAAAUAUUAAUAUCUCAGAACAUUGCAUUUCCCAUGUUGUGCCUACUGGAUCUUGAAGUUUCACCAACCUGAUUAUGAAUGUAUUCAUCAACAUUAUUUGGUUUCUGUCAAUGAUUUGUCGUGGUUUCCAUGCUGUGCUUCUCUAUUAUGAAUUUAUACUGUCAGAAAUAAAAACCCAAUAACACAUCUUUGUUUAUUCUACUAAGAUAAUUAAUGUAGAGAAUAAAAACAGAAAAUGCUGGAGUAAUUCAAUGUGUCUGGCA
Chiloscyllium plagiosum (whitespotted bambooshark) is the source of this 1100-nucleotide long non-coding RNA. RefSeq lists it as uncharacterized. The record is from RefSeq and is a predicted model, not a curated record. NCBI's taxonomy places the organism in Eukaryota, Metazoa, Chordata, Chondrichthyes, Orectolobiformes, Hemiscylliidae.